This 1258-nucleotide long non-coding RNA is filed under the name Homo sapiens (human). RNAcentral describes it as "HSALNT0280197". Lineage: Eukaryota; Metazoa; Chordata; Mammalia; Primates; Hominidae. The record is from RNAcentral.
CUAGGAUUUAAAAAACAUCUUAUGCUAUCUAUUCCAUCUGGUCAUGGCACAAGAAUAUUCCAAUGGAAGUUCUAGAAUCCUUGGACUGACAUCAAGCUAUCCUCUUAUCAGAGAUCCUAGAAAACUCAUCAGUAUUCUUUCUAUUCCCUUGAGAGACUGUUCUACAAACACACACAUCUUACUAUCAAAGGAUAUAUUCUGAUGCUUAACCUAAAUUUCCUUUUCCUUAACUUUAUCCCUUGAAGCUUUUCAUAUCUCCAGCCAAAAUUCCUCUUUAUCCUUGGUGUUUAGACCCCAAAGCUAUUUGUAGAUUUUUAUCAUGCCCUUUGGGUCUGACUCUGUGGUUUGGCUACACUAUAAAGUUCAUAUUUUGCUUUAAAACCAUCACUGUAGAUGAUCUUUUCUGGACUCCCUCCAGUUGCUUUUGUUUUUCAGUCCUGAGGUCCAAUAUUCCAGGUUAGGGCAUCCUAUUUUGCUCUUGUUUGUUAUAUAAUCCCAUUGCUUAAACAGUCUCAAAUCACACUGAACUUUCUGAUUGAGUGUCAUAUAAUAUUUCAGACUUCUAUCUGAUUGGCUCCCAACUUUUAGCAUUGUUGAUUUUCAUUUCAUCCUGCCCAUGUCUCUCAAACUGAUCAUGAUCCCCCGAUAUCAUUUCUAUGUUCUUAGUGGGUAAACAGUUCACAGCAUCUCACUUGCCCAUAAAAGUCCGGGUUCUGUCUCCAAGCUCCUGAAACAUGAAAAAGAAGCAUCAUUUAAAUCUGUGUGACAUGCAUGGAAUACAUGAGAGAUAUGUGGAGAAAUUUUACAAGGCUUAAGAAUGCAAAUUGCAUUAAAUAGCCCAACUUCCCCAUGCCUGAACUAAAAAUGUUUCUUUAGAUUCCUAUGCCAGCUGCCAAAGCACUUAAAUUACAAUCGACAAACGUCAGUGGAGGUAAACCUAGAGUCUUUGAGUACAGGAAAUUUUUGUCUUCUAUUACAUUUAUAUACCAACAGGCAAGGUUUUUGGCUCAAUAUUUUGGAUCAAUUUCACAUAGCCCAGAAUUGGAACCAUGAACCCUCCAGGUACACACUUGAGGUUUUAAUAUUCCUCUAGUUGAUAUCCAGACCUGUGAAAUUUUUUUUUCUGACGUUAUAUUCGGAAACCCAAAUGACUAUUCUUAUUCAUCUUUCCCAGUUUUUCCCCACUCUGUGUGCCUAAUUUUGCCAUUUCUCACCAAUUGUGACCUUAAAAAAUUAAAUUCAGUAAAAGAAAACGACU